This 76-nucleotide transfer RNA is filed under the name Synechococcaceae cyanobacterium SM1_2_3. RNAcentral describes it as "tRNA-Ala". It matches the Rfam family "tRNA". Rfam says of the family: Transfer RNA (tRNA) molecules are approximately 80 nucleotides in length. Their secondary structure includes four short double-helical elements and three loops (D, anti-codon, and T loops). Further hydrogen bonds mediate the characteristic L-shaped molecular structure. tRNAs have two regions of fundamental functional importance: the anti-codon, which is responsible for specific mRNA codon recognition, and the 3' end, to which the tRNAs corresponding amino acid is attached (by aminoacyl-tRNA synthetases). tRNAs cope with the degeneracy of the genetic code in two manners: having more than one tRNA (with a specific anti-codon) for a particular amino acid; and 'wobble' base-pairing, i.e. permitting non-standard base-pairing at the 3rd anti-codon position. Lineage: Bacteria; Bacillati; Cyanobacteriota; Cyanophyceae; Synechococcales; Synechococcaceae. The record is from RNAcentral.
GGGGCCAUAGCUCAGUCGGGAGAGCACCGGCUUUGCAAGCCGGGGGUCGGCGGUUCGAGGCCGCCUGGCUCCACCA